This is a non-coding RNA of Physcomitrium patens, 6025 nucleotides long. The record is from RefSeq and is a predicted model, not a curated record. NCBI's taxonomy places the organism in Eukaryota, Viridiplantae, Streptophyta, Bryopsida, Funariales, Funariaceae.
UUGUCUUUACUUCGGCACUUUCUCAUUGGAAGUUUAGUUCAUAACAAAGCUGUCUUUGGUUUUCUUCCUGUCUGAAGCUUGCCCAUAAUCUAUCUAUUUUCUUCUUCGGGAGAAACGUUUCUAGAAGUAGCCUCAGCACGAUUCAUUCUAUUCUGGAAGAAACUCUCGCAAUGUUAGCGGCAGAUUGACGGUGCUUUGAUUCCGCAGGAAACACAGUGGCUGGUAGCAUGGAUUCUGAAGAUGUAAGCACAAUUAGCGUCUAUAACCCUACCCUCGCCCUCUGUGGCCGCCACCACCGCCCAGCUUUCUGCAACAUCUGCUGAUGUAGGUGAGGGUAGGCUAUGCAAUGUGGACUUAGAGGUCGCUCUCAGAUCGGAGGCUGCCACCCUACGACGUAAGUGAGACAGUCGCGUGGCUCUCGGAGCGUCGGAUGUGCUCUCCAAGCGAGUGACCGAAUUGCGUGGGUGCUUGUUAUUCACGGGCAGUCUCUUGCGAUCUCGGCGCCAUCCAGACAUUUCUGAGGACCACACCGAAUGUGGGGAGAUGGAUCCGAGAGAUGCAUGGGAGUUGUUCCCGUGCGGUUGGAAGGAACUCACUCGCGCCCUCAGGUUUAGAGUAGAACCUCAGUGGUGAUUAACAAUGUGGGUUCAUAUAAGUCGCACCGUAAGGUCUACAAUUGAACUUCAGCGGUGAUCAAGAUAGUGGGUGCAGGCAGCAAUGUGCGACCAGAUACAAGGGCUCCGGGUUUUAAACAUCUAGGAGGACUGUUUCUGGAUGGAUCCUAACACAGAUAAGGCCCCCCCUUUGUCGAAGUUGUGAUCAAAACUGCGUGCUGUUGCAAUCACAAGCUCAAGCCCAGUUAGCAAUUAAUUGAUUAAUUGUUUAAUUGUUAUGGUUUCAAAUUUUGCUGAGUUUUGAAUGUCGCUGCCUCCUGCUCGAUUUUUGUUGAGUUUGUUGUAUUUCUCUACGGCUCGACCCCGGUCUCGCUAUCUACUGCAGCAUUCUCGUCGGUGUUGACUCAGCUGCCACCCGCCCUCCUGAUUCUUCUGCCCUCGAUGCCUCUGCUUCCCUGCAUUGCUCCGACGAUGAGCGAUCCGCCGCCAGUGAUUCCUGGUCCGUUCGCAGGGAAUACGUUAGCACCUUGGAUGGUGAGGACCAACGGAAUGCCGAUGUUGCGGAUGCGCUCAACGCCUCUUCGUUCCGCACCACUGAUUAUUUGGGCGCCCCUUCUCACCUCUCCUCGUCUCUCCAUGCUACGAGAUCAAAUCCCUCGCUCUUUUCACUUACACUGUGUGUCUGGUACUUGGUCCGGUUAAUGACGACUGUGUUUCGAGAUGGCCUAGUUUCUUCCAGUCCUUUCGACUCGGAACUGCUGCGCCGAUUUCCUUAGCACUUACACUCGCAAACAAGUUAGUUUCCUCCGGAUGGUUGUGGUUCGUGAAAAUGGAUGAUUCGAUGACAUACAUGGGUUCAUUAUUGAAAAUCUUUGUGCAAGUUGCUUGCUCCUGAUGGAGUAUUGGUAUUUUUUUCCUGUGCCUUGACGGGUGGGCAAGUAUGUUGAAGUCACUUGGGAGAAUGUUGCUAGAACUGGCGAAUGCGGCGGCUCCAAUUUCUGCGCGUAGAUUUUCAUCAAACACCUUAACUUUUGGAAUUGCACGUGGCAGGUGAUAACCUCUAGUAACAGCCCCAAGGAUGAGCUGAUAGCUCUGCCGUGCUUUUGGGCUUCGCUUUUUUGCACUUGGCACUAUUACUCCGCCCUUCACCAUCGACGGCUCUACCCUCUCCAUGGCGACCACAGCAUCGCCACUAUCCUAUCAACUCUCUCCGAUUCAUCGCUGCUCCUGUGAGCCCACACCAACUGCAACCGCCUCGACACAUGGCGCCGCUGCAGCUCCAUCCAAUCACUUUGAGCUUCAUCGCCAAGUGGAGCACCUCCACGUCUUCGCAUGGCGCUUGGAUUCUGAUUAGAGCUGAUACUGCCUCACUCGCUGCGUUGGGAUAUAUAGUGAUGGUAGUCGACAGUUCUCUUCAAUCGAAAUCAGCUCAUUGUACAGGACUUGCCUUCUUGAGCUGUUUGAUUUAGGUUACGAUCUUCUGCUUUCUACUUUAGCGUACUUCUACGUUGAUAAUUUAAUCCUCACCUGUGUCAAGAAUGGCCUCCAUGUCCACCGCGAUGUCACUGUCGAGCUCUGUGGCUGCACUUGCAGUCAUGCUCCCCUCAAACGCUGCUUUUGGAUCGUCCGGAGUUCAGCAACUGGCUGCUGUGCGGUCGCCCGUGAACUCGAACGCAUCCAGAGUCGUGGCUGCCAGGGCUAGCCAGUCCUCUGAGGAACAAGCCCCUGUGAAAUCAAAGGUUCUUGUGGCCGCCGGAGCAGCAUUCGCAUUGAAUGUUACUCCUGUUGCUCCCGCACAAGCUGGGUUUUUCAGCAAUGACAUCCAGGUCGAGCGGGGCGCCACAUCCCCACAAUUCCCCGGAAACGAAGGCACUGGAACCAAGGUCGGCAACAACAUGGGGCACCAGAGGAUCAGCCAAUUCUGGCACGCCCUUCGGUGAAGGCGCUGGUGGAAAUUUGGUCGGAGACAACCAAGCCACCAGGCAGCUUUCGUCCACGGGAACACCUCUGGGAGAAGGAAGUGCCAGCGGCUCCGGCGUCAAUGUUGCGGAGGCGUUGAAGGUACCUGAUGUCGGACUGCCUGAUGUGUCCAACUCCCUGAACAAGAUUGGUGAGCUGAAUCCCUUGAAGAAUGGUGUACUCGAUGCAUCGAACAUCGUCGGCGACGCCAAGAAUGCUGCUCAGGAUUUGGCGGGAGAUGCCAAGAGUAAGAUUGGCAUGGGAGGAAUGGGAAUGCCUGAUGCAGGCAGCGUUGCUAGCAACGCCAAGGGCAUGGCCGCUGAUGCUAAGUCCUAGGUAAGCGAUGGUUUGAGUGGUCCUUCAAGCGUUGCCAGUGGCGCAAAGAACUCUGCCAAGGAUUUGGUAGGCGAUGCCAAGAGUAAGUUGAGCAAUGUUGCCAGCUCCGACGUUGUCGGUGACGCUAAGAACGCUGCAGGCGAUGCUGCAAAUCGCGCAACUCAGGGAGUUGCAUCAAAUACUGCACAAGACGUUGUGGAGAACGCCAAGAACAGCAUCGGAUUACCUAACCCCAUGGAAGCUGGGAAGGCUCUGCUUAGUAAGCAAUGCCCGCGUUCGAGGACGGUGACAGAGGUUUCUGGAAGAGCCUCGAGAAGAUGGAAGAAGGGGUCGGUGCAGAGUUCCAUGCAGAACUCUAUCGUUGCUCUUAUUUGUGAUAGGUGAACAGGGAGCUCUAGGCAAGCUGUUUUAGUGAAAUCGAGCGUGAAGGCGUCAACUGUUGAGCACGGCUCUGGCCUCCAGACGGGACACUUCAAUAUAUGGAGCAAAAGGAGAGCAGGGUUAGCGUCGGGCUUGUCCGAACAAACAUGUAUUCUAAGAGACCAACGAUGGUGGACUUUACAAGGCGGGCAUAUACGGAUCACAAGUUGCGAAAGCCCUCCAAUUUGUGUUGUUGUGAUCCCGCCUCGCAAUGAACAACACAAGAUCAUGACCAAAGUAUGAAAACGUUGGACAAAUUUUAUUAUGAAUCCACAAUUUCAGCUCACGAAUCGCAGAACUACAACCGCAAUCGGAGGGUUCAUUUAUUUUGCCCCUAGCUAAAUCCUAGACACAACUGGGUUUCUUGUGCAUUUAAACACAACCGACCCUUCAUCACUCUGUUGAAGCGCAUCUCCAGACACGACAACACUUCGAUCCGACCUAUUGGAAGCUUAUUGCUUACUACCCAACUUCGCAAGUGUGACUGAAGGGGAAGGAUUUGAGCACCACUCCGUCUGCUAAGUAUCCGUGGUAAGACGUCGUCGAAUUGUUGUGACCUCGGGAUCAAGCACGUGCUGCUCUCCGUAUCUCGCCUAGCAUUCUUGAGUACAACGGAACAAGGCGCAGGUUUACUUCUGCGGAGCGAUGCGUAAUGACUCUCGUGCGUUUUUCGAGUCCGUCAUUGAAAUUCGGUGUGACUCGUGUGGUAUGAGCCAAAAGUUGAGGCUGAGAAGCCCACGGCAAUCCGCACGUCUAGAUGAGGGCGAGCUCGCAAGAGGCCGCCCAUGAACACGAAGUAUUGAUGCACUUCGGUCACUUGCAUGGAGAGUGUGUCCGAGGAGCGAUGGCAACGCAGCCAUCUCACUAUUCGUCGUGAAUUGGUGGCGGCGAUGGGUGAGCGUCUCCUGUGGCCCUGCUGCGCUCUCUUGGAUCUCCUGCAAGUCUAGUAUCUGCAUCUCCUGCGGGCCUAUUAUCUGCACCGGUUGUCGAGUUCGGGCGCCAGGGACGUGAAGGAGGCGGAUUAUAGUAGCUAAUGCUGGUGGCGUCUUCCAUGUUUCCUCGAACUGUGAGUCCUCGAACUGUGAGUCCUUAGGAAUCGAAGCACUGUCAAUUUGCCGCGAGCAGAGUGCGAGUGUGUUCGAGAGAAGAGUGAAUCGGGUAAAAUCGUUAGUCCUCUAGCAAUUUUGGUACUGAAAUGAAAUAUCAGAUGGAUAUGACGGACGCUUCAGUCACUUCACAAAAUCAACAACAGCACGUUGUGAGGGGUCGCACUAACAGUGUGAGUUGGUGCUCGAACUCGUCGACUUCUAAUUUCGCUGAGGGGAGGGCUAUAAUCUACAAGACACAGUUUCAGUACCCAACAAAAGCAGAACGCGAAGAUGGAGAUAAUAUCAAAGAUGAAAAUCAAAGAGAAAGGUAGCCAUAAUGAAUCAAUUGAUCAUUUUGCCCUUCUUAUAAUCCCUCGUUUUGGCCCUAUAACCCCUCGUUUUGUCUAAUUUUAGAAUCAAGCAUUUGCAAGUUGUUUUAGACCGUUUCCCGUUCGCGGAGAAAUGCCGUUAAUUUCGAUGAUGGGAUCGCUUUUCGGCCGUAAAUAUUUGCUUUACGUGUCAGUUCUCUCUUUCAUCCUCGGUUGUCCAAGAAAUGCUUACCAAAACAAGCAUGGAAGUGGGCAUUGAUUUACAAAUCCGAAAACAGCCGCGCUGUUAGCACCUGGAACCUAAGCAUUUCUUAGAAAUCCCCCGUGUCGUAGAUGGCAACUACAAUCUGUGUAGAGUUACUUCGCACCAUCCAGCUAUCCGGCGCAGAUGGUUGAGAAGUCUGUACACAAUGUCUGUACACGUUGUGGCUUGAAUGAUACUCAAAGUUUGCAGCCUUGUUUCGGAGGCUGCCGUUGGUUGUCACAGACCGUUCGUUGAAGCUUAAGCAGAGCAACUCAGGGUUUAUUAGGUUACCGUGGUCGUGGCAAGCGUCAAACCCUUGGUAUGUCAUGACACCAAGGGCAUGGCCGGAACAUAUCCAAUGAAUUGAAUAGAUCGGAGCAACGGAAUUUCUCUCGAAUGAAGCAUCGAAUGCGGCUUCGAGUUUUUUAACGAACAUUGGCAUCCACAACCAACGUUGACCGCACUUGACGGCACACAUGAUUGCGCUAACCGUGGGGACCAACACAUUAACUAAAACCAGAGGUUCGUUAAGAUUGUUCGUGCCCCUGCUGGCUCUCUUUUGGUAAGAUUGUGUGGGGUCCAGUAAAUGUCGCCGCACUCAGGUAGUCCGUCAGCACAGCAACGGGAUCAGUGCCUCCACCCAUGCCCAAUGGGUGGACAUUGUUGUUCUUAACCAUUGCCAGCAUCCGGCGGUGAUCCCGGCAAGACAUUUUCCCGGCCUCACUUCUAAAAAUAACGAUGAGAAUCAUUAUCAGAUCAAAAAAGCAGGAAAUUCGUUAUCAGCUACCAAACCCACUGUUAUAACUAAUUAUGUGUUAGACAGUGUUUUAGAGAAAGAGUGACGAGAGUACCUAGAAGUAAUAUGCACACAUAUGUAAACACACAUACAUACAAGAAGUGAGAUUAUUGAUAGGAUUAUAUCACUUAUACAAAGAGAAGGAGAGAAGAUAAACAUUGUUUUUCUACUACAUUCCAAACAUUGUAGCUACAAUAUAUAUUGUAAACUACAAUAAAUAGUAUGGAGAGUACCAGCUA